Molecule: ribosomal RNA, 507 nt
Filed under: uncultured bacterium
Lineage: Bacteria
Description: partial 16S ribosomal RNA
Rfam family: Bacterial small subunit ribosomal RNA
Source: RNAcentral
AGUGAACGCUGGCGGUAGGCCUAACACAUGCAAGUCGAACGGCAGCACAGAGGAGCUUGCUCCUUGGGUGGCGAGUGGCGGCCGGGUGAGGAAUACAUCGGAAUCUACUCUGUCGUGGGGGAUAACGUAGGGAAACUUACGCUAAUACCGCAUACGACCUACGGGUGAAAGCAGGGGACCUUCGGGCCUUGCGCGGGUGAAUGAGCCGAUGUCGGAUUAGCUAGUUGGCGGGGUAAAGGCCCACCAAGGCGACGAUCCGUAGCUGGUCUGAGAGGAUGAUCAGCCACACUGGAACUGAGACACGGUCCAGACUCCUACGGGAGGCAGCAGUGGGGAAUAUUGGACAAUGGGCGCAAGCCUGAUCCAGCCAUACCGCGUGGGUGAAGAAGGCCUUCGGGUUGUAAAGCCCUUUUGUUGGGAAAGAAAUCCAGCUGGCUAAUACCCGGUUGGGAUGACGGUACCCAAAGAAUAAGCACCGGCUAACUUCGUGCCAGCAGCCGCCGGUAA